RNAcentral lists this ribosomal RNA (253 nucleotides) under uncultured bacterium. Its description in RNAcentral is "partial 16S ribosomal RNA". It matches the Rfam family "Bacterial small subunit ribosomal RNA", at positions 524 to 776 of the family's 1533-position model. The record is from RNAcentral.
UACAGAGGGGGCGAGCGUUGUUCGGAAUUACUGGGCGUAAAGGGCGCGUAGGCGGCCUGCUAAGUCGAACGUGAAAUCCCUGGGCUCAACCCAGGAACUGCGUCCGAUACUGGUUGGCUUGAAUCCGGGAGAGGGAUGUGGAAUUCCAGGUGUAGCGGUGAAAUGCGUAGAUAUCUGGAGGAACACCGGUGGCGAAGGCGACAUCCUGGACCGGUAUUGACGCUGAGGCGCGAAAGCCAGGGGAGCAAACAGG